GAAAGAAAAGCCUGCUUUCAAGGGGCCCAUGGAGAAAUUCACCCAUUCUAAAAACCAAACAAAAUCACCAGAAAGAAAGGUGCAUAGUCCUUUGGUUAAAAAAAAGACUCACUGGAUAAGCUCUGAGCACAUCUCAGAGAGGCAGAAGGUGAUUGGGAUCACCACCCCAGGGAGUGAACACUGGUCGGAGCCAUUAUUGUGACAUAAUACAGGCCUCUGAGACAGACAGUGGCAGAUGCAAUUGUAUUUCUUCCCAUGGUCUGUUAGCUGAGGGGUUUAGCCUACCCACUAGAGCAGUGAUUUAAUCCAGCUCAUCCAGGGAAGGCGCCCUGCCCUAGGGACUCACCCCACCCACUAGCCAGCCAACAGGGAACUUGUGGGGCUGUGUAGGUGGUGUGUUCUGGACCUCUACAGCAAGACAAGCAGAAUCCAUGUCAUUCGAGGGCUUUAGAAACUCAGCGCCAUAGGAAGUUUGCAGAUGAAGCAUUUGUCCAGUCCAGACCUUGUACUGCAUGUCGGGCGCUCCCAGCACCGCCAGGGAAUUCUGGGGAAAGCCCAGGUGACCCUUUCCUAGCUGAAGACACAAAGGACCCCAAGGCCCCUUACCUGCGACAGGCCAAACUGAGGAACAGAAAGCUCACCCUCCUGAGGGCCGUUCGACAACAUGGUCAGCAACCAAACUCCUGCAAGACAAAAGCAAUAUAUGAGGCCUCAGGAAAUAAACCCAAAGCAGUAUUUGCAGAAUGCGGACUUCCAUGCCAGAAAGGGCUGUCGAGAAUAUGUCACAUUUCCUUUAACACACUUCUUGGGGAAGUCAACAUUUUGCCUGUCUAUUGUGACCCUUUAGCACUCGCACUUGAUACAUGCUCCUUCCUGCACGGUCCUCUCCUUUUGUGCUAAAUGCUUCCACUCUACAGUCAGUCAAGAGAAGAAAAAUGAUGGCGUGUGCAUGCCAGAGGGAGUCAGCACCCUCCAAAUCAUCAGGAGCAUGUGAAUUUCUGCCAUCACUUGUGUGGAGUGGGGGCCGCCCCUAGCUACGCAGCAGCCAGGCAAGGAUAACCGGGGCAAGAGGUCUAGAUGACUCCUUGGACAACUUUUAGCAAGGAUUUGCUGGGUGGAUUCUGAUUUGCUUCCAGAGAGGUCUGUGUGUUUGUGUGAGGGAGAGAGAUGGAGGGAGAGGGCAGGGAAGGUGAUUUCAUGGUUUGAAAGCUGCUGGGAAAGCUGAUUCCCACUAAAUGCAGAAAAGCCAUUGGACAAAAUCCAACGCCCUUUGUGAUCAAAACACUCAGGACACUAGAAACACAAGGCAGCUCCCUGAGCCUGGGAAAGGGCAUCUGUGAACAAGACAGAGCUCACAUGCAUCAUACUUCACGGGAGAGACUGGAAGCCUCGUCCCUGACGUCAGGACAAGGUUGUUGAUUAAUCAAUCCUGGUGCUCAACUGCACAGACAGCACUGUGCACAUGCCAGGCAGGAACCCAUGACCCCAGGAGGUCCCCAGAGACAAGAAUCCUCAGAAACACUGACACCGGAAGCAAGCAGCCCUUCAAUAAGGACAAUCUGGCUUCCAGCAGCCCAAGUAGCUUGAUUACCGAGUCAAGGCCAGCCCGGCAGCCCACGUGGUCCCAGCAGCAGCUUACUAGUCCACCAGUGCUGAAAUGUGACCCCAAACCUGCAUUGGGAAGACAGAUUGGAGAGAUUUGCCCCCUGUUACCUUGUGAGACGACCUUGCAAUGAAGCUCUUCUUUUCUCAAAAGCCAAGGCCAUAGUCCUGGCUUCUAUGCGCAUCAGGCAGCAAGCCCUUGCUCAGUAACAAGGCGAUGGAUUCAAACUUGACUCACGGCGGUAGGAUUUGGGAAUAUACACAUAUAUGGAAUCAUUAUAUUUUACACCUGAAACUAAUAUAUUUCAAUUAAAAAGUCAAUUUUACUUCUCCAUGCUAGCAAUGAAAAACUGACAAUGAAAGUAAGAAAAUAGGUUAAUUUACAAUAGCAUCCAAACCAAUAAAAUCCUUAGUAAUAAAUCUAACUUAAGAAGUACAAGACUUGUACAACAAAUGCUCCAAAACAUUAUUGAAAGCAAUUAAAGAGGGCCAAAAUACAUGAAAAGACUGCCCAUAUUCAUGGAUCGAAGACUUUAUACUAUGAAGAUGGUGAUACUGCAUGGAGAGAACUGCAGAGUCAAUGCAACCUCGAGCAAAAUCUCAGCAGCCUCUUUUGCAGUAACUGACC
RNAcentral lists this long non-coding RNA (2230 nucleotides) under Equus caballus (horse). RNAcentral describes it as "lncRNA (ENSECAG00000052864.1)". The record is from RNAcentral. Lineage: Eukaryota; Metazoa; Chordata; Mammalia; Perissodactyla; Equidae.